RNAcentral lists this ribosomal RNA (440 nucleotides) under uncultured Catonella sp. RNAcentral's name for it is "bacterial SSU rRNA". It matches the Rfam family "Bacterial small subunit ribosomal RNA", at positions 338 to 795 of the family's 1533-position model. The record is from RNAcentral. Lineage: Bacteria; Bacillati; Bacillota; Clostridia; Lachnospirales; Lachnospiraceae.
CCUACGGGCGGCAGCAGUGGGGGAUAUUGCACAAUGGAGGAAACUCUGAUGCAGCGACGCCGCGUGAGUGAAGAAGUAUUUCGGUAUGUAAAGCUCUAUCAGCAGGGAAGAUGAUGACGGUACCUGACUAAGAAGCCCCGGCUAACUACGUGCCAGCAGCCGCGGUAAUACGUAGGGGGCAAGCGUUAUCCGGAUUUACUGGGUGUAAAGGGAGCGCAGGCGGUUUGGCAAGUUGAGAGUGGAAGCAGGGGGCUCAACCCCCUGACUGCUCCCAAAACUGUUAAACUUGAGUAUGGGAGAGGCAGGCGGAAUUCCUAGUGUAGCGGUGAAAUGCUUAGAUAUUAGGAAGAACACCGGUGGCGAAGGCGGCCUGCUGGACCAAAACUGACGCUGAGGCUCGAAAGCGUGGGUAGCAAACAGGAUUAGAUACCCCUGUAGUC